RNAcentral lists this ribosomal RNA (172 nucleotides) under uncultured eukaryote. RNAcentral describes it as "partial small subunit ribosomal RNA". It matches the Rfam family "Eukaryotic small subunit ribosomal RNA", at positions 1662 to 1828 of the family's 1831-position model. The record is from RNAcentral.
GUACACACCGCCCGUCGCUGCUACCGAUUGAAUAAUCCGGUGAACUCGUCGGAUUGUUUUAUUAAUUUAUUUGAAAAAGUAAAUUUUAAAAUAAAAAGUUGAGUAAACCAUGUUAUUUAGAGGAAGCAAAAGUCGUAACAAGGUUUCCGUAGGUGAACCUGCAGAAGGAUCA